Molecule: unclassified non-coding RNA, 148 nt
Filed under: uncultured fungus
Lineage: Eukaryota; Fungi
Description: sequence contains ITS1
Source: RNAcentral
CUGAGACUGGGUGCUUCGGCGCCCGACCUCCAACCCCUUGUCUAUCUACCACUGUUGCCUCGGCGCGCUCCCUCGCGGGGGCCGCCGGCGGCCCAAACCAUAAACCCUUCUUAAACCACGUCUUCUGAGAAAUAGAAUUAAUAAUUCA